This 1079-nucleotide long non-coding RNA is filed under the name Anas platyrhynchos platyrhynchos (common mallard). RNAcentral describes it as "lncRNA (ENSAPLG00000024771.1)". Lineage: Eukaryota; Metazoa; Chordata; Aves; Anseriformes; Anatidae. The record is from RNAcentral.
GCCAGGGAUGGACACAGCCUGGUACCCAUUUCCUCAGCAGGCUGCUGUGCAGGGCCUGGCUCGCAGCGGCAGGGGCUCCUCCUGGCCGGGCAUUUCUUGGCUGUCAAGGGCAGAUUUGGGCCACCCGGGGCUCAGCUCGGCUGGGAAGGGCAGCACGGCCCCUGCAUGGGGAGCUGCAGGGCGGGGAGAGGGGGUGAGGGCUGCCUCCCACCCACCCCAGGGCCAGGAGGAGCCCACGCAGCACAGCAGCGCCUUCCCUCGCCUUCCUGCUGCCCAGCUCCAGGGCUGCAGAGCCCUUCCCUGGGGAGCUGCUGUGCUGGAGGCCGGCCCCGGCUCGCUCCUCUCGCUGCAGCGAGGAGCCCACCCCGCUCCGCACCAGCUCCUGCAGAGGCCUCGUCCUGCCCUGGCUCCACCGCGAUACCUGGGGAGGGGGAGCCGGGCACAGGGUGCUCGGGGCCGCUCCCAGAGCCCAACCCUGGGGCGCAGCCGGAGUCUGUGGCUUGUGCCGGGGCUGGGGGGGGCCAUGUGCUGUGGGUUGUUUGCACAGAGCUGAGACAGAGCCCUCCCGGGGGGGAGCUGAGGAUGCGCUGUCUGGAGAGCCUGGCCCGCGUCCAGGCAGCAAGGCUGUUCCUGGCAGGCAGCGAGGAGCACAGGGACGUGCCAGGCUGCGGGGGCACGGCCGGGGGGGGGGGGGGGGGGGGGGGGGGGCAGCUGCCCUCCCCUGUGCUGGGCAGGGGCAGUUGCCUUGAGGGGCGCCCACGCAGCCCCUGCCCGGUGCCGGUGCCUGGCAGGCUGUGCCCCAGCAGGCUGCUCGGGGGCAGCAGCGCCCACCCCACAUCAGGCCGGGGGCUGAGCCAGCCUCGAGCGUGGCAGAGGGGCCCGGCCCCCCCCCGGCUGUGCAGAGAAGGAGCCCUCUGCGUGCAGCCCCCGGGGCUCCCAGUGGCCCUGGAGGGGGGGCGCAGCGCUGCUCAGCUCCCUGCUCCCCCCACCCUGCCUCUGAGUCACUGUUUUCCCGACAGCUUUGUGAAGCUGAUCAACACCGCUAAAAAUAAUUUCCGCCUGGCUCUGAACCGCAGCCA